UGGAACUCUCCGGUUCCCGUACGAUCGGCGAAGUUAAGCAACGACGAGUCUGGUCAGUGCCAAGAUGGUCGACUGUUUGGGAAUACCAGGUGCUGUAAA
Acanthosepion pharaonis is the source of this 99-nucleotide non-coding RNA. The record is from the annotation of a GenBank genome assembly. Lineage: Eukaryota; Metazoa; Mollusca; Cephalopoda; Sepiida; Sepiidae.